GGUACACGUCCAAAUAGAUACCGAUAGAAGGUAUCAGAAAGUAUUUGCAUCACUUUGCACUUCUCCUUUUGGCGCUCGUGUACCGAUUAGCCUACCGUUUAAAAGCACAUCCUGAUCUUGAUGUAAAAAGUUGAUUUCUUUGAUGUAAAAAGGAAAUGAUAUGCACGAACUUGAGUGUGUGUGUUGUUCUUUCAUGUGAGGAGAUUGUUAAAUGGUGAUAAGGAUGGCGCGAGCAGUCAAAGGUCUCUGCUCGAUUUGCAUUGCCACGCAUGCAAGGGACUCGCGUAUUUGCAAAUAUAAUUGCACCGGUUUGAUACGCGAGCUUUUUCACCCGGGCUGACCUCGAUCGCGUACAGGAUUAUUACAGUGAUUCCUCGAUCGAGGUAAUUAAUUCCGCUCUGUUCGACGAUAUCUUGAAAACGGUUCUUGGUGGUCGAUGCUUUCGUGAAGAGAAUAAUUCGAUUCCUUGAAGAUCGACUUUGAAUUACAAUUAUGAGAAGAUUACCGAUGCCAAUUUCUUCAAAGUACAAAACAACACGGGUUCACGGAACAAAGAAACAAACUCUUUAUCGUAAGAACAACUAUCUUAUUCCCAGCGUUAAAAAAGAAUUAACCUUGAUCCAUUCUAUAUAGAUACAGUAGGAUCGAAGUUGGAGAAAUUAGCAACACCGUUUCCCAUCGAUCACGAUAUAUUCAAUUAUCUACACCACGUGCAUGUUUGCCAUUAUCUCGAACAUGGUUGAAACACGAGUUACACGGUAGUGUACAAAUUCGAAACGGCAGUCCGAGGUAGUCGGACCACCCUGUACAUAAAUAGAAGGAGGCACUACGCGUGCGCGUACGAGCAGUCCGUCCGAGUUUCUACGUUCUCUAGAGCGGCGAAGGUCACAGUUAAUCGACCGCGAGAUACAUAGUCACUCUGGUUACAGCGAGAAAAGUAACGACUAGUAUAAUUGCGGCCCUUCGUUUCCGUUUCGCCAACGUACCGGCAACGCACAAUUUCCACCGGCGAAACGAUCGAGCCUCGAACUAUCGUUUUCUGUCGAACGCAGAUGGGAAAGAAAGGGAAUAAAA
Molecule: long non-coding RNA, 1074 nt
Organism: Apis florea (little honeybee)
Lineage: Eukaryota; Metazoa; Arthropoda; Insecta; Hymenoptera; Apidae
Source: RefSeq, a predicted model, not a curated record